Molecule: long non-coding RNA, 559 nt
Filed under: Cyanistes caeruleus (blue tit)
Lineage: Eukaryota; Metazoa; Chordata; Aves; Passeriformes; Paridae
Description: lncRNA (ENSCCEG00000008478.1)
Source: RNAcentral
GGGUUUCAGAGCAGUAAUUCUUCCUCAGGCUUGUCUUGGGGACAGAGAUGUGUGUUCCCAACCAGAGAGAAGGGGAGGUGUUGAUUUCUUUUGAGCCAUCACAAUAUUGAUGUUCCAAGAUAUAUUUGCAAAGGUUUUUUUAUUUCUCUUUUAUUUAUAAACUAUUGUGUCUCAUUGUAUUUAUCCUUGAAAACAGUUACACUUAAAGAACAGGUCAGAUCCUUACAGUGACUCAUGGUCCUCUGAGUGACCCUUUGACUUCAAUAAGAUUAUCUGAGUAAAAAGGACAUGCCAGGAAAUACAAUGAGGUAUCCUCGCUGUGUGAACUUACUGGGAUGUGUGGCACAAUCCUCAUGUGAAGCACUGAAUCCAGAAGAGUCCCUGGAUGGUGGCAGAGCAGCUCUCUUGCCACAGCACAUUUGCUCCAUGAGAGAUACCCCCUUACAGCUUUUGUAGUGCAAAAACUGAGCUCCUCGGAUAAGCUGGCUUGGCUUGAGUUGGGAGAUCCAACACUCUAAAAGACUGGAUGGUUAUUUAAUAAAUGUGCUUAUCCAGGGCA